ACCAAGGAGUCUGACAUGCGUGCGAGUCGAUGGGUUCUAGAACCUGGGAUGCGCAAGGAAGCUGACGAGCGGGAGGCCCUCACGAGCCACACCGCUGGCCGACCCUGAUCUUUCGUGAAGGGUUUGAGUUGGAGCACGCCUGUCGGGACCCGAAAGAUGGUGAACUAUGCCUCAGCGGGGCGAAGCCAGAGGAAAAUCUGGUGGAGGCUCGAAGCGAUACUCACGUGCAAAUCGUUCGUUACUUGGGUAUAGGGGCGAAAGACUAAUCGAACCAUCUAGUAGCUGGUUCCCUCCGAAGUUUCCCUCAGGAUAGCUGGAGCCCAUUAUGAGUUCGAUCAGGUAAAUCCAAUGAUUAGAGGCAUUGGGGACGCAACGUCCUCGACCUAUUCUCAAACUUUAAAUAGAUAGGAUGGCGCGGCUGCUUCGGUGAGCCGUGCCAUGGAAUCGGGUGCUCCAAGUGGGCCAUUUUUGGUAAGCGGAACUGGCGAUGCGGGAUGAACCGGAAGCCGGGAUACGGUGCCCAACUGCGCGCUAACCUAGAACCCACAAAGGGUGUUGGUCGAUUAAGACAGCAGGACGGUGGUCAUGGAAGUCGAAAUCCGCUAAGGAGUGUGUAACAACUCACCUGCUGAAUCAACUAGCGCAAAAAAUGGAUGGCGCUGAAGAGCGCGACCCACACCCGGCCAUCUGGGCGAGCGCCAUGCCCCGAUGAGUAGGAGGGCGCGGCGGCCGCUGCAAAACCCGGGGCGUGAGCCCGGGCGGAGCGGCCAUCGGUGAAGAUCUUGGUAGUAGUAGAAAAUAUUCAAAUGAGAACUUUGAAGGCCGAAGAGGAGAAAGGUUCCAUGUGAACGGCACUUGCACAUGGGUAAGCCGAUCCUAAUGGACGGGGUAACCCUGGCAGAUAGCGCGAUCACGCGCAUCCCCUGAAAGGGAAUCGGGUUAAGACUUCCCGAGCCGGGAUGUGGUGGUUGACGGCGACGUUAGGAAGUCCGGAGAUGCCGGCGGGGGCCUUGGGAAGAGUUAUCUUUUCUGCUUAACGCCCUGCCAACCCUGGAAACGGUUCAGCCGAAGGUAGGGUCCCAUGGCCGGAAGAGCACCGCACAUCGCGCGGUGUCCGGGGCACCCCCGGCGGCCCAUGAAAAUCCGGAGGACCGAGUACCGUUCACGCCUGGUCGUACUCAUAACCGCAUCAGGUCUCCAAGGUGAAUAGCCUCUGGCU
Molecule: non-coding RNA, 1219 nt
Filed under: Triticum aestivum (bread wheat)
Lineage: Eukaryota; Viridiplantae; Streptophyta; Magnoliopsida; Poales; Poaceae
Description: Eukaryotic large subunit ribosomal RNA
Rfam family: Eukaryotic large subunit ribosomal RNA
Source: Rfam by way of RNAcentral